UAUUCAAAUCCAUCAGUUACAACCCCUCCAAUAUUUCAACAUGAAAAUCACAGUAGAUCAAAUGAAAAAUAUGUAGAAUUACUUUAUUUUGUGACAAUAAUUUUGUUCCUAAUCAAAUAUGAGUUUGUCAUAAUAAAUUAGACAAAAAAUACUCCCCCUCCAUUGAACCGAUUGGUAACGCCCAACCAAUGAGUCGCACUUUCACCAAAACAACGCGAGUGGUGUUUGAAUGGGAGAGCACACGGGUAACUUAACGUACGCCAAAAAUGAAGAGAAGCGCUGCACAGCGGACUAUAUUUAACUGCUGGUCAGAGAGGGAUGCAAAAAAAUAAUAAUAAAGCAUGUACUGAGAAUGAGGUUUUGAGGCCAGCUCUGCAAACGCUCGGUUAUAAUGGGCAUUGAAGACACUUGAAAGUGUCAGGAACGUGGAGUGGUGAGGACAUGGACAGUGGACCCAGGUGCAGACAGCGGGUAGGAAGAAGUUCCACCAUGUCCAGACGACCGACAGAUGCCCAUCCCCAAUUUGAGAUUACGCCAGCUACAGCUGCAGACUGACUGACCAUCCCAGCUCCAUCUAAGGCAAUUCCACCACCAGCCAAGAGAAAUAUGACCAUCGGACCAUCACAGCUCAGACCACUACAUCCCCAACCAAGAGCAAAAGAUGGACUAUUUGUCUUAUUAAUGCUGAAGUUACAAUGUUUGGUAUUAAAUGCUAAACUAAACUAAACUAAACUAAAAUCACAUGUCACCAGUUUGAGUGCAGCUAUGACAUGUCAGAGGGGAUCUGGCCCUCCCGGUUGAGCCUGGUUUCUCCCAAGGUUUUUUUCUCCAUUAAUCAAUCAUUGGAGUUUGGGUUCCUGGCCACAGCAGGGCAGUGUUGGCCUGCUCACCGGGAGACUGCAUUCAUUCAUUUAUUUAUUUAAUUAGAAAUUAGAUAUUAUUUAUUAGAAUGAUCUUACUCGUUGUAUAAAUACCAUGCACUGUGCUGUGUUUUAACUUUUCUGUUUUUCCUGUUUGCCCCUGUAAAGCUGCUUUGAAACAAUACACAUUGUGAAAAGCGCUAUAUAAAUAAACUUGAAUUGAAUUGAAUGAACCAGCACAGGACAAGAAACACAAGGUCAAUAAAUAGGGAAAAUAAUCAAAAAGGGACAGGUGUGGGGCAUAACUAAUUAACAUGAAAUAUUGAGACGAAAGAGCGGGAAACACAGAAUAGACUAAGAGAGAGAGUAUGGCGUUUAAAGAGGCCCAAAAACCUCUCUUUCUACAAGAAACAAGGGAUCCUGCACUGGCUCUGCCACAAGACCAAUAAAUAUAAGACUGAUGAGGCAGAACCCUGACAGGAAGUAAACGACCACCGCUUUGAUUGGAUAGCAGUUUGCAUAGUUGGAGCCUUCUGUGAAUUUGGUUUGAGACGUAACGUAAGGUUACGCAUUAGCACCAUUCACAGUUUUCGUAGGGCAUUAGUAUUACCUGGAGACCUCCUGUGAUUUAUAAAUGACCUCCCCACGUCAGUAUCUCAUCUUUCGUGUGACGCAUUCGUACGGGAUUAGUUUACUCAAAUUACAUUUACAUUUAGUCAUUUAGCAGACGCUUUUAUCCAAAGCGACUUACAGUGCACUUAUUACAGGGACAAUCCCCCUGGAGCAACAUGGAGUAAAUUGUCUUGCUCAAGGACACACUGGUGGUGGCUGCUGUGAUCGAACCAGCAACCUUUGAUUUAACAGUUCAGUGGUUUAACCCACUAGACCACCAUAUCCAAAUUACUGACUUGCUUGCUGGAUGUGAUGGCAAGGCUUUGCGUAUAGUUUGUAUAGCCUAUACUUGUAUUAUGUUUAAUGAUAUAUGACCGUACCUGUCAGCAUUAGAUCACCGCGAUCGCAGGUCUCAAAUGUUACAAGAGAUUCCAUGAUAAAUAAACAAACAGGAGACUCCCUGUAAUUUAUGGAUAUCACCCAGCACCCAAAAUAAUACCAAAACACUUCAAAGCAGCCUCCAUUAUUCGCAAACGGUGUAUAAAGCCUUGAAAAAUUAUGUAUGAGCCAACCAAAUUACAGAGACGUCGAUUCGCACUGGCUUAAGAUCGCAGACAACCUCUGCAAUUAAUACAAAUGACUAGAGUUCCCCAGGUAAUACUAAUCUUGUGCGAAUAGGGUUUAGGGCACUUCAAGCGAUCUCUAACAAAGCAACAGUGAAAAAAAGUACAAAAAUGUUUUACUCACAUAUGAUUGGUGUGCCAUUCCUAUCGGAUCCAAUAUUGAAGGCACAGCACUGCUUUUUAAUUUUAAACUCUCCACAAAUUCAGUGUCGACCUGUGCCUUAUUCACUCUUCUGUCAUGCGAGAACCAGUGGGCGGGGCUAGAGAAGUAGUUGUUGAUUUUUUUCUGUGGAGGUGGUGUUCAACCUAUCAAUGUCAUUAAAGAAAUGUGCAUUCCAGAACCUGGCAUUCGCUGGGGAUGGUGUCAAUAACAAAUCUCAGUAACAAGGGCAUUUUCAGUUCUGAUACUUACAUGAUGUUCACGUGAAUACAAUUCCUUCUUAUAUAACAAAGCUUGUGUUAAAAUUGUAAUUUUCGUUUUCUUUCCCGAACAUCUUUUCUCCAAAAUAUGACAGCAAAGGCUGAAUUCUCUCUCUGAGGGGUGAAGGUUUGAAGCAUAUAUUUCGCAAGCUUAGUCAUACUUAAAAGCGUUACAUCAGUAACAUCCCGCUUGAAGGAUUUUGUGUAUGUCUUUUUUAUAGGUCACCCUUUGACUAUUUCCUGACGUAAUUACUCUAAACGUAUGAUCUGUUACACUGUGCCUCUGCCCUACCCUUAGUUAACAUAUCUGUUAAGGUAUGAUGCAAAUGGCCGAAGCACAUAACUGAUGGCCCUUCUAUUCUGUCCAUUGUAAGUUCUCCAGUUGGAGGUACUAAUGGUAUAACCUAACCUAUUUUUUGAAGGUAAUGUUUUACCAGGUACAAAGGUCUGCUCACACAGAGAGUACCUUAGGUUAAGACAUGGUAAAGAAUGUAGAAGGUUUGCAC
This is a long non-coding RNA of Triplophysa dalaica, 3021 nucleotides long. RefSeq lists it as uncharacterized. Lineage: Eukaryota; Metazoa; Chordata; Actinopteri; Cypriniformes; Nemacheilidae. The record is from RefSeq and is a predicted model, not a curated record. The transcript is spliced from 3 exons.